This 329-nucleotide unclassified non-coding RNA is filed under the name soil metagenome. RNAcentral describes it as "partial contains 5.8S ribosomal RNA, internal transcribed spacer 2, and large subunit ribosomal RNA". The stretch from base 1 to 120 matches the Rfam family "5.8S ribosomal RNA", at positions 35 to 154 of the family's 154-position model. The record is from RNAcentral.
GAUGAAGAACGUAGCGAAAUGCGAUAAGUAGUGUGAAUUGCAGAAUUCAGUGAAUCAUCGAUUCUUUGAACGCACAUUGCGCCCCUUGGUAUCCCGAGGGGCAUGCCUGUUCGAGCGUCAUUUCACCACUCAAGCCUGGCUUGGUGUUGGGCGACGUCCCCUUUGGGGACGCGCCUCGAAACGCUCGGCGGCGUGGCACCGGCUUUAAGCGUAGCAGAAUCUUUCGCUUUGGAAGUCGGGGCCCCGUCUGCCGGAAGACCUACUCGCAAGGUUGACCUCGGAUCAGGCAGGGAUACCCGCUGAACUUAAGCAUAUCAAUAAGCGGAGGA